Molecule: ribosomal RNA, 481 nt
Filed under: Melitaea didyma (spotted fritillary)
Lineage: Eukaryota; Metazoa; Arthropoda; Insecta; Lepidoptera; Nymphalidae
Description: partial 16S ribosomal RNA
Rfam family: Archaeal large subunit ribosomal RNA (bases 343-481)
Source: RNAcentral
UAAAGGGCUGCAGUAUAUUGACUGUACAAAGGUAGCAUAAUCAUUAGUCUUUUAAUUGAAGACUUGUAUGAAAGAUUUGAUGAAAUAUAAACUGUCUCUAAUUUAUUAAUAAAAAUUAAUUUUUUAGUUAAAAAGCUAAAAUAAUAUUAAAAGACGAGAAGACCCUAUAAAGUUUAAUAAUUUAUUUAUUUAAUAUUAAAUAUAUAAUUAAAUAUAUAAUAAUUAAUAUAAAUUAUUUUAUUGGGGUGAUAGAAAAAUUUAAUUAACUUUUUUUAAUAAAUAAACAUAAAUAAAUGAUUUAUUGAUCCAUUAUUAAUGAUUAAAAGAAAAAAUUACUUUAGGGAUAACAGCGUAAUAUUUUUUUUUAGUACAAAUAAAAAAAAAAGUUUGCGACCUCGAUGUUGGAUUAAGAUAAAAUUUAAAUGCAAAAGUUUAAAAUUUUGAUCUGUUCGAUCAUUAAAAUCUUACAUGAUCUGAGCUC